CCUGGUUUCUGUAUUCUAGUAUUAUCUCUUUAUGUAAUUCCUGUAUUUUUUUUCACUGCCGCUGAAUGAGAUUGAGUUUGGACUUGAAAUUUUAUGCAUAUAUAAUAUCAAUUUCUAACUUAUGUUAUUUUUUAGAAUUCUUAAACCUUUUACAAAGGUUUUCACGGAGCUUUCAGCAUAAAGUUGUUAUCACCAGAUACGCCGCGCAAUAUGUGUGGUUCUGUAUUAUUUACUCAAUUUGUCGUUCGCAGCCAAAACAGAUGUGUUGCGACAAGAUAGACUAUCCGUACUGUUUUUCCUCAUAAAUAAAGCUUCAUAUUGACAACAACAAUCCUCCUCUCUGCUAUCUUUUCCCCCAUAACAGAAUCCUUCUUAUAUUUCCUCAAAAAUCUGCAUAGCAGGUUUCGUCUUCAUAUAACACUAGAUGAUGCCCUGUGCAUUGCUGCGGAAUCCUGUUAAAACAAAUGCAUAAAUAGAUGAUUAAAAAUAACUAAAACUAAUGAGAAAAAUAUGUAAAAUUGUUCUUGUUUUACAUUUGAAAACAAUAAAACAAACGAAUAUGUGACG
RNAcentral lists this long non-coding RNA (567 nucleotides) under Brachypodium distachyon (stiff brome). RNAcentral describes it as "long non-coding RNA (BDIS_LNC003425)". The record is from RNAcentral. Lineage: Eukaryota; Viridiplantae; Streptophyta; Magnoliopsida; Poales; Poaceae.